AUGAACGCUAGCUACAGGCUUAACACAUGCAAGUCGCGGGGAAACGACAUCGAAAGCUUGCUUUUGAUGGGCGUCGACCGGCGCACGGGUGAGUAACGCGUAUCCAACCUGCCCACCACUUGGGGAUAACCUUGCGAAAGUAAGACUAAUACCCAAUGACGUCUCUAGAAGACAUCUGAAAGAGAUUAAAGAUUUAUCGGUGAUGGAUGGGGAUGCGUCUGAUUAGCUUGUUGGCGGGGUAACGGCCCACCAAGGCGACGAUCAGUAGGGGUUCUGAGAGGAAGGUCCCCCACAUUGGAACUGAGACACGGUCCAAACUCCUACGGGAGGCAGCAGUGAGGAAUAUUGGUCAAUGGACGAGAGUCUGAACCAGCCAAGUAGCGUGCAGGAGGACGGCCCUAUGGGUUGUAAACUGCUUUUAUAAGGGAAUAAAGUGAGUCUCGUGAGACUUUUUGCAUGUACCUUAUGAAUAAGGACCGGCUAAUUCCGUG
This 491-nucleotide ribosomal RNA is filed under the name uncultured bacterium. Its description in RNAcentral is "partial 16S ribosomal RNA". It matches the Rfam family "Bacterial small subunit ribosomal RNA", at positions 29 to 507 of the family's 1533-position model. The record is from RNAcentral.